UGCACAUGCUGUGAGCUCGAUGAGUAGGGCGGGACACGUGGUAUCCUGUCUGAAUAUGGGGGGACCAUCCUCCAAGGCUAAAUACUCCUGACUGACCGAUAGUGAACCAGUACCGUGAGGGAAAGGCGAAAAGAACCCCGGCGAGGGGAGUGAAAAAGAACCUGAAACCGUGUACGUACAAGCAGUGGGAGCACGCUUAGGCGUGUGACUGCGUACCUUUUGUAUAAUGGGUCAGCGACUUAUAUUCUGUAGCAAGGUUAACCGAAUAGGGGAGCCGAAGGGAAACCGAGUCUUAACUGGGCGUUAAGUUGCAGGGUAUAGACCCGAAACCCGGUGAUCUAGCCAUGGGCAGGUUGAAGGUUGGGUAACACUAACUGGAGGACCGAACCGACUAAUGUUGAAAAAUUAGCGGAUGACUUGUGGCUGGGGGUGAAAGGCCAAUCAAACCGGGAGAUAGCUGGUUCUCCCCGAAAGCUAUUUAGGUAGCGCCUCGUGAAUUCAUCUCCGGGGGUAGAGCACUGUUUCGGCAAGGGGGUCAUCCCGACUUACCAACCCGAUGCAAACUGCGAAUACCGGAGAAUGUUAUCACGGGAGACACACGGCGGGUGCUAACGUCCGUCGUGAAGAGGGAAACAACCCAGACCGCCAGCUAAGGUCCCAAAGUCAUGGUUAAGUGGGAAACGAUGUGGGAAGGCCCAGACAGCCAGGAUGUUGGCUUAGAAGCAGCCAUCAUUUAAAGAAAGCGUAAUAGCUCACUGGUCGAGUCGGCCUGCGCGGAAGAUGUAACGGGGCUAAACCAUGCACCGAAGCUGCGGCAGCGACGCUUAUGCGUUGUUGGGUA
RNAcentral lists this ribosomal RNA (841 nucleotides) under Escherichia coli. RNAcentral describes it as "bacterial LSU rRNA". It matches the Rfam family "Bacterial large subunit ribosomal RNA", at positions 389 to 1230 of the family's 2925-position model. Lineage: Bacteria; Pseudomonadati; Pseudomonadota; Gammaproteobacteria; Enterobacterales; Enterobacteriaceae. The record is from RNAcentral.